AUGCCCGGGAGUUUAAGGCACACGGGGACAACUUUGCCCUGUCCUGAGCUCCGCCGAGCCCCGGCACCCCCGGGGUGCUGCGUGCUGCCCCGAGCCGGCCGCGUUCAAGUCAUUGAUGCGAAAAGUCAGCACCGGCACCCAACUUCUGCCCGGGGGAUGCUCGCAGCGGCUCAGGAUGCCGGCUGCAGCCUGGGGCACCCACAGCUUCCCCGACCGACACCGGCACCCCCGGGGCACGCUCGGGACCUUUUCCCCGGGACAAACGGGGUCGGGGUCGGUACUCACCGGCGGGGGGGAGGUCGGGUCGGGUCUGGCCGGGCUGGCAGCGGGCGGGCAGCAGCCGGGGCAGCGCUCCCCCUGCGCUCCCCUCCGCUCCCCUCCGCUCCGCUCCGCGCCGCCUCCCCGCCGCCCGCCGCAGCCCCGCGCCCCCGCGGCUCCCGGCGCAGCCGCGGCCACCGGGCUCCCUCUCCUGGGCGACCGUGGCCCCGCGCCCCACCGCCGGGCAGCCCCAGGAGGGGGGCACCGCCGCCGGGAUGCUCUCUGUGUGCCCCCUUGCACCCCACAAAGCCCCCAAAGCCGCCCCGGUUCCGCAGGGAGAGGGACCCCGGGGGAUGCGGGGACCGGGGCACAAAGCCCAGGGAUGGAGAGCGGCCCCCUGGGGACUCCCGGUUGAGCUUCUCCGGUAGGGCCGGGGCUCAGAGCCAAAAAAUCGGCUUGGCUAGCCCGGGGCAGCCGCUAGACGGGAACCCCGAGGCCGCCGUCGGGCAGGGAGCGGGUGCGGUGAACCCGGCGCUGUGGGCACCGCUGGAGGGGCUGAGAAGGAGGCAACAAACUUCAGUUCCUAGGGGCAUCCCUGUCCCUGCUUACGGGAUAAAAUCCUCCCUGCAGGGAGGGAACAAGGAGAAAAACCUCAAGCUCAGUUGCCCGAGGGUGCUCAGGUGCCUGAGGAUCCGUACCUUGAGCGAUUUGUCCCGGGUCAGGCGAGGGGACAGCAGAGGGACGAGUGGCUCCGGCCCUUGGGACCUGCCGGGAGCCCCAGGGCUGGCACCCCACGGGCAGGGGCUGAGUCCCGGCCUCCGGCUGAGGGAGUAA
RNAcentral lists this long non-coding RNA (1092 nucleotides) under Anas platyrhynchos platyrhynchos (common mallard). RNAcentral describes it as "lncRNA (ENSAPLG00000022639.1)". The record is from RNAcentral. Lineage: Eukaryota; Metazoa; Chordata; Aves; Anseriformes; Anatidae.